RNAcentral lists this ribosomal RNA (618 nucleotides) under alpha proteobacterium GWS-SE-H155. RNAcentral's name for it is "bacterial SSU rRNA". It matches the Rfam family "Bacterial small subunit ribosomal RNA", at positions 12 to 678 of the family's 1533-position model. The record is from RNAcentral. Lineage: Bacteria; Pseudomonadati; Pseudomonadota; Alphaproteobacteria.
UUUGAUCCUGGCUCAGAACGAACGCUGGCGGCAGGCUUAACACAUGCAAGUCGAGCGCCUCUUCGGAGUGAGCGGCAGACGGGUGAGUAACGCGUGGGAAUCUACCCAUCUCUACGGAAUAACUCAGGGAAACUUGUGCUAAUACCGUAUACGCCUUCGGGGGAAAGAUUUAUCGGAGAUGGAUGAGCCCGCGUUGGAUUAGCUAGUUGGUGGGGUAAAGGCCUACCAAGGCGACGAUCCAUAGCUGGUCUGAGAGGAUGAUCAGCCACACUGGGACUGAGACACGGCCCAGACUCCUACGGGAGGCAGCAGUGGGGAAUAUUGGACAAUGGGCGCAAGCCUGAUCCAGCCAUGCCGCGUGAGUGAUGAAGGCCCUAGGGUUGUAAAGCUCUUUCAACGGUGAAGAUAAUGACGGUAACCGUAGAAGAAGCCCCGGCUAACUUCGUGCCAGCAGCCGCGGUAAUACGAAGGGGGCUAGCGUUGUUCGGAAUUACUGGGCGUAAAGCGCACGUAGGCGGAUCGUUAAGUGAGGGGUGAAAUCCCAGGGCUCAACCCUGGAACUGCCUUUCAUACUGGCGAUCUUGAGUUCGAGAGAGGUGAGUGGAAUUCCGAGUGUAG